Long non-coding RNA from Pungitius pungitius (ninespine stickleback), 7047 nucleotides. RefSeq lists it as uncharacterized. The record is from RefSeq and is a predicted model, not a curated record. The transcript has 3 exons. Lineage: Eukaryota; Metazoa; Chordata; Actinopteri; Perciformes; Gasterosteidae.
UCAUGCUCAUAGCUAGGCUUGGUUAGCCCUGUUUUCAACCUCAGACCCCUGGCAACAAUAAGCCCUAAACUACUUAAAAGUACUCCAAACACAACAACAUUAGUGUGUGGUGUAAUAGUAAGAACAUAUUCCAUGCAGAUUUGUCCUGAAAUUUUGUACUUAACUUUAUGCUCCGCGCAUAUUACCGUGAUAUAAGUAUUAUUUCGCUCAGACAAACCAUGCCGAACAAAAGCCAUCAAGCCAUGGAAGUGAAAGCGGUCAAGCUGUCAGGUUUUUUUGAGCCAGAAAUCUCGAGUGACAUGUGACGCUCCAGCUGUGUUGAACCGGUGUGCGCUGGCUCCAUUUUGUGGCCAGAUUGUACUGACACGAGCGUGUGGCGGAGCCAAAUGCAGCACAAUGGCACGGAGUGUUUGGUUAACGCUUUUAUUAAACACGGCUUAACAGCAGGCGUUCGGGCACAAUGAGAGGCAGAGCAGAGUUCGGUCCUCAGGAUCGGGGAGGAAAUGCCGGGAGACAGCUGGUGCGAUCGCUGGGCCGGUCGGGGAUCCGGAGCACAGGAGCAGAAGCGCCGGGCAGUCCAAGGAGCAGGCAACAGAAACCCGAGGCGCUCAGGCAGGACUCGUGGUCGGCACCGGGGCGGAGACAGACGAACGGUAGUGUUGUUACCUCCGACCCUCCUGCUUCGAAGCUUGUGUCGAAAUAUGAACCAGUGCAAGACGAAGCAAAUGUAUCGGUGCUUGGUUCGUUCUCUGCUGAUCACGUGAUCAGUGACGUCCGAAGCUUCGGCCCCGCUCACAGUGACGUCAUCAGUGACGUCCGAAGCUUCGUUCGGGCGCACAGUCACGUGACCGCUUCAAUUUGAUUCAAAUGGGCGCGAAACAGGCUCGGGUUUGUUUGAUACAGUCAAAGUCAGUGUUGUUGUGAGUACUAGUUGCAAAGAGCAAAUUUACAAUGGAACCUGUGGCAAAGAGAGGUCGCUCUGAGAUGUGGGAGCACUUUGAUUUGAUUUCCUCUAACAAGGCUGGCAAUAGGCAGGCCAAAUGACUCAUUUGUAUUGUGUAAUUAUUUAUUAAUUAUGGAUCUUUAUUUUUAUUUGUGUUUUUUAGUUAAACUAUACAUACCUUUGUAAAUUGUGUUGUCGGGUCCAAUGUUUGGUUUGCCAUCAGCAAUUGGCCUAUAACAACAACACCUCAUCCAUGCUGAGGCACUUUCGUGCCAAGCAUGAGGCUGGUCAAGCUGCAGCAAGCAUCCAUGGUGAAAGAAGGCCAAAGAAAAGGUCCAGAAGGCUACUGCUGUGGCUUUGACCUCUGAUAUGUGGACAUCCAUCCACAUGGACCCGUACCUGGCCUUCACUUGCCAUUUUGUGGAUGAAGAGGACAGGUUGGCUACUGUUUUGCUGGCAGUUGCCAAGUUUGGGGAGCGGCACACGGCUUCAAAUAUUGCCUCUGUGAAAGGGUCCAUAAUGGAGGAAUGGGGAAUCCCCAAAUCCGAAGUUAUGUGCCUAACCACAGAUGGGGCCUCCAACAUGACCUUGUGUAGUACCAUGAUGGAGAUCAGGCACAGCCACUGCAUUGAAUUUAGUUGUGAAGAAAGCAAUGAAAUUAACACCUGGUCUGGAGGAGGUCCGCACUAAGGCAAGGGAUAUUGCCACACACUUUAGAACUAGCACUGUAGCUAGAGAGCGCCUUCUCUGUCUCCAGAAGCAAAGGGGUGCUCAAUGCACAAAACUCAUUCAAGAGGUGGAAACAAGAUGGAACAGCACCCUGGACAUGCUGCAAAGGCUGUAUGAGCAGAGAGAGCCAGUGGGUGCAGCCUUGGCCUCUCUGCAAACAGAUGUGUCACCACUCACCUCAAACCAGUAUGCCAGUAUUGGUCAGUGCAUUGCACUUUUGGCCCCGCUCAAAGAAGCAACAGUCGAGCUUUCUACAGAGAAACACGUGUCUGGAUCUAAAAUAAUUCCCUUGGUAAAGAUGUUGCGCCACACAAUUCCAGCCAAGCAAAGGCAGCUGACUGAUGAAAUGGCAAAAGUUCUGGGAAAGCAUUUACUAGGCCUAAUGCACGAGAAGCUCUAAACUAUGAACUGGCUGGACAGCACGCUCUGGCCACGCUCCUGGAUCCUCGUUUCAAAACGAUGGGGUUUUGCAACCCCACAAACCAGCAAAAUGCCAUAAAAAAACUUACUGCUGAAACAGUGACUGUGAUAAGGCAACAAUCACCUGAUCCUGCACCCUCACAUGAUGAAACACCAUCAACUUCAGAAGAUGCACCUUCAGCGUCUGAUUCCUCAGGACUGUGGGAUCUUUUAGACACCCAAGUUCUUGAGAAGAAGACGGUGAGAAGUGCGUCAGCCAAUGCCACUGUGGAGACCACCAGAUAUUUGGCCGGGCCAAACAUUCCACGGAGUGAAGACCCGCUGAAAUAUUGGGUCAAACACAAACAUGUGUACCCACAUCUAUUUGUAUUGGCUUGUAAUCUUUUGAGUAUCCCUGCCUCAUCCGUACCGUGUAAGCGUGUUUUUUCUAAGGCGGGGGAAAUAGUUUCUGCAAAAAGAAACCGACUUAACCCCAAUACUGUAGAGAAAAUUGUGUUUCUCAAUAAAAAUCAAUAAUAAUUCCAUGGCCCAUCUCAUGUGUCCAGUCAUAACAAACCUGUCCAAAAGCACAAUCACUGCCCCACUGACCUUUCCUCUGUAAAUCACUUCCCACAUUCCAGAUUCAAACAAUUCACAUCAGUCCCUAUGACUGCCAUGAAGUGCACAUGCAGUAGGAAGUACUUGCUGGUAUUUUAAAUGAUAUUGCUUACAUAUAACUCUAUACUACAUAUAUAAAUCUUCUAUUAAUUCUUCUGCUAGUAUGAUCACAUAGAUAAGUGUUUGUUCUACUUCUUCCUAAUGUACAGAGAAUUGAAAUACACAAACAAGGACACAAUUCAAACCUGAAAAACAAUAGUUUUAUUCAUAUAGGAAUCCAUGUAUUUAUUGGUUCAACUUUUCAUAAUCAUGUUCAACCCACAGAGACUGGGCCAAAAUACACUGGUAGGCCAUUUGAAACAUGCACUACAAGUUUUCAACAGCAGAGGUCACCAUAGAGUUUUCAAUACAAUUGGCUGGAAAGCUUCACUUUGCCAUCACUAACGAACGGGUCGGGAACAGGGUUGAAACAGGGAGAUCAGUCCAAGGUAGAGUGCUGGAGAGACUUGCAUGACGCGAAGAACAAUCUGGCAAUGACAGGCUGGGUGUGCAGUGCUUAUGUAGCGGGGCUGAUUGUGAAUGUGAAGCAGGAGUGGAAGGCAGGAGAGUGACUGAUUGUGGAUGCGGGGCAGGUGUGGAAGAUCGAGCUGGCAGGUGAGUGUGACAGACGCGCUGCGCUGACCGUCCUCCGCUGCCUCUUCCUCUGGCUCCACGGGUUAGCAGAUGAGUGUUUGUUCUGUGGUAAAAUGGUUGACUCGGGUGCUGAGCAGAGUUUUUUGGACACCGAGGUGGUUUCUCAGGCAAGAAUCUGAACGGAACCACUAGUUCCUCCGGUCUGUGUGUGUGCGUUAGACGGAAAAUCCCUAGCCCUUGUCACCCACCGCACUGAGCUCUUACUCCUUAUUUCGUCUGGUAACCACCGUGAGGUAAUUCAGUUUUUUGUUUUUUCGUCUCCUAAGACCCCCCUAGUUCUCGGACAUCCGUGGCUGAAGCAACAUAACCCUCACAUCGACUGGACCGCAAGAUCAGCGAAUGGAGUAAGUUCUGCCACUCUUCCCGCCUACAGUCUGCGUUGCCCCAAACCGGGGGCAGUUUCACUCUCCCAGAGUCUGCCCCUCCUGAUCUGUCUUUGGUGCCUACGGUGUAUCAUGACCUCGGCGAGGUAUUCAGUAAGGAGAGGGCUCUCUCCUUGCCACCGCAUCGUCGUUAUGACUGCAAUCAAGCUGCUACCGGGUUCCACCUUUCCCUCAAGUUGCUUGUAUAACCUGUCACGACCUGAGAGAGAGGGAAUGGAGACUUAUAUUAAUGACUCACUGGCCGCUGGAAUGAUCAGAGCAUCUUCCUCGCCUCUCGGGGCAGGGUUUUUUUUUGUGAGGAAGAAGGAUAAGACCCUCCGUCCUGUAUUGACUUUCGGGGCUUGAACAACAUCACGGUUAAGAAUAAGUACCCUCUACCACUAAUCAGUUCUGCCUUCGAACCCCUACAGGGAGCCACCAUCUUCAGCAAGCUGGACCUAAGAAGCGCAUGCCACCUGGUACAAAUUUGUGAAGGAGACGAGUGGAAGACAGGGUUCAAUGGCCACUUUGAAUACCUGGUAAUGCCUUUUGGGCUGACCAACGCUCAGGCGAAUCAAAGCGUUGGUGAAUCAUGUUUUGAGAGAUUUUUUGAACCGGUUUGUCUUUGUUUACCUUGAUGAUAUUUUGAUUUUUUUUCUGUAACCUCUCAGAACAUCAACUUCAUAUACGGCAGGUCCUCCAGAAGCUUCUGAGAACAAGCUGUUGGUAAAAGCCAAGAAAUGUGAGUUUCACGUCAACUCUGUGGGCUUUCACGGCUACAUCCUUGAGAGUGGACAGGUAAGGAUGGACCCGGAGAAGAUUAAAGCGGUGGCAGAGUCGCCGGAAUCCUCCUCCAGGAAGUUGUUGCAACGGUUCCUUGGUUUCACCAACUUUUAUCGCCGUUUUAUCCAGGACAACAGGAGAAUUGCUGUUCCCUUGACCAGACUUACAUCUCCUGCAGUUCCUUUCCAGUGGUCUUCUGAAGCAGAUCGAGCUUUUGUCUUAUUGAAGGACCGCUUCACCUCUGCGCCCAUUCUGGUACAACCAAACCCUUCUCUACAAUCUGUUGUUGAGGUUGACGCGUCUGAAAGUGGGGUGGGAGCGGUCCUCUCCCAACACUCCGGACCUGGACUAAAAUUGCACCCAUGUGCAUUUUUUUUCUCGACGCCUGUCUCCAGAGGAGAUCAACUAUGAUGUCGGUAACUGGGAACUUCUAGCUGUAAAGUUGGCUCUGGAAGAGUGGAGUCAUUGGCUGGAGGGAUAGGAGACCUUUCAUUGUGUGGACGGACCACAAGAAUCUUGCCUACAUCCAGUCAGCUAAACGUCUUAAUCCCCGUCAGGCCCGUUGGGCAUUAUUUUUCGGCCGUUUCAAUUUUUCCAUCAUGUUCCGUCCAGGAUCAAGGAACAUUAAGCCGGAUGCCCUGUCCCGCCAGUUCACGGUAGAGGAGUCCUUGAGGGGAUCAGAUACAAUCCUGCCCGCAUCGUUUGUGCUGGGAGCUCUGACCUGGGAGGUGGAGGCAGCAGUUCGGGAAGCGCAAGACGUGGACCAAGUCCCCAGCACAGGACCGGCAAAUCGGCUGUUUGUUCCGGAGUCAGUCCGCUCUGAAGUCCUGCAGUGGUGACAUUCCUCUCGGUUUGUGUGUCAUCCAGGGAUUAGUCGUACGUUGGCUCUCCCCAGACGACAUUCUGGUGGCCUGCCAUGGAGGGGGACACUAGGGGAUAUGUCCUCGCCUGCCCGGUUUGCCCGGGCCAAAGCCUCUCAUCGACCACCGAUGGGGCUGCUCCGCCCCUUUCCAACGCCUGGUCGUCCUUGGUCCCACAUAGGUGUAGACUUUGUCACCAACCUACCUCUUUCGGAUGGGAGGACCACGAUACUGACUAUUGUGGACCGGUUCUCCAAGGCAGCCCAUUUUAUUGGCCUCCCCAAGCUUCCGUCAGCCCAUGAGACAGCGACCCUCUUAACAAAUCAUGUCUUCCGCCUUCAUGUUAUUCCGUUGGUCUCCGACCGUGGUCCUCAGUUCAUCUCGCAAGUUUGGAAGUCGUUUUGCCACGCCCUGGGAGCUACGGUCAGCCUCUCAACUGGAUUCCACCCACAGACUAACGGACAGAAUGAGAGGGCUAGUCAGGACCUGGAGGCUGCCAUACGCUGUAUGGCCGCUUCGAACCCAUCUUCCUGGAAUACUAAGUUGGAUAGAGUAUGCACACAACUCUCUACCCACUGCUGCCACUAGAGCAUCACCAUUCGAGGGAUCGAUGGGUUAUCAACCCCCAUUGUUCCCAGCCGAGGAGGAGUUGGCUGUUGCAAGAUUUGGAGGGACACCCAGGCAGUGCUGUUGAGGACAGCUGAGAGAAACAAAAGGACUGCUGAUUGACACCGAACCCAGGCACCGAACUAUACACCAGGCCAGAGGCUGUCGGCUAAGGACAUUCCAUUGAAGACAGACUCUAGAAAAUUAGCACCACGUUUCAUCGGCCCAUACGUAAUUAAGAAGGUCAUUAACCCCUCCACAGUCAGACUCAUCAUCCCAAAGUCCCUCAGGGUUCACCCUACCUUUUCAUGUCUCCCAGUUGUUACCAGUCCUCUGUCCCCUCCGGCCACUCCUCCUCCUCCCGCCCGGGUCAUUGACGACCAUCCUGCUUAUACAGUCAGACGACUACUAGAUGUUAGGCGGCGAGGUCGGGGUUUUCAGUAUCUCGUGGACUGGGAGGGUUACGGUCCAGAGGAGAGGUCUUGGGAGCCUCGUUCAUGCAUUCUGGAUGCUGACCUAGACCGGGACUUUGACACGGCCCACUCGGACAAGCCAAGAAAAUCGCCUAGAGGCUCCCGUUAAGGGGGGGGUACUGUCAUGCUGUCAACUGUCAGUCCAGCACCCCCUCAUGUUUUUGUUCGAAUUACCUUUGUUUCCCAGAUCUGUCAACAGAAGGCCACUCCCCCUUGCUCUGUUGCAGAGGGUGUGACUGAAACAGCUGACGGAGAUUUACCAUCAUGGACAGCCCUACGUAAACCUGGGUCUUCAUGCCAUUCGCCGCCAGAUCGUUCCAUCAUCAGAGUGGUAGCUAUACGUACAGACUGGUUGUUUAUGCGAAUUAGACUCUGUUGCUCACCCUGUCCAAUCUUUUUUGCCAUAGAGUACCGGGACCCGACUUACCUGCUGGCUGGCCUUCCAAGACAAGUACCCGCUCCUGACAAAGACCUGUCCUCGGCACCCUUUUGUUUGUCUGCAAAUAAAUCUAUUUUUCUCCCUAAGAAGACCUCCCUGUGACUCCUCUGUGCUGCGCUUGGGUCCAUGCCCUACACUAAAA